CUCUCAUCCAUCAAACAACUCCAGAGCUUCACGGAAGAAACGGCGAGAACAGCCACGACCACAAAGCUCCUCAGCCGGAGACGAGCGACAAGACUCUUGUGAUUAGCGCGUGACAGACGGAGAAGACGUGAUGCCUUCAGCGCGUCUACGCUUCACGCCGGGGUCCCAGGAUUGUGCCCAAAAACAACCGGAAGCGUUUUCCCCUCGGAUCAAACUUCAUCUGGACUGCUAUGCUCAGAAAGGUGUUGAGGUGCAGCCGUCAACCACCAGCUCGGAGAAAAGAGAGCGAGGAAGCGGCGAAUCCUAACAAGCUUUCGGAGAAGAGUUCCAGCGUUCACAACCCAACCCGUGCAUUGUGGCCGGGUUUUGAAUGGCGGCGGUUUGGCUUGGAGCGUCGAGCAUAUAAACUUCACAACCCCGCCGUAUUGGCUGAACUUACCCUGAACAGAUGCUCGAAAACUCCAACGGGAGCCCAGGCGUGGCUCUCGUCACCAUGUGCAUUUGUGUUAUUGUCCCGCGAGCGCUGAAAAAGUCGGUGAACGCGGCCAAAAGAAACACAGCAACGAAAAAGAACAUGGCGUGUUAUGACUGCGGCCAGCAGUGUUAAUAACAAGUUAAUAAUGCAUUUUUUGUCGGAUAAACGCGGCCCUCAUAUUGAAGUAGAAGCUUGAAGCUUUUCUAAACACGACACAUGAGCAACACAUGUAUACAAUGAAUGCACGUCAUUUUACUGAAUCCACAUAUUGUCGAAUUAUUAUUAUUUCAUCAAACUACACUCAAAGGGUGUCACGGUGUGGUUUUAUAUCCGGUCUUAUUUUGUAGUUUUCUGCUUCUUGUCUCCCUGGGUAACUUCACUUCCUGCCUUGUCCUGUCAUCCCCUGUGAUUGUCUGAUUGUUUCCACCUCCAAUCACCUGCACCUCCCUAGUGUAUUUAAGCUGUGUGUGUCUCCUGUCGCUUGUCGCGUCAUUGUCUAUCGUCCUGGAUGUGCCUCGUUCCUGUCUGCCUUUUUGCCCUCCUGUUCCUGUCUGCCUUUUUGCCCCCCCUGUUCCUGUCUGCCUUUUUGCCCCCCCUGUUCCUGCGUGUGUUUUUGCCACUUGGCCAUUUUUGUGUUGGAGUUUAAAACUCUGCAUUUGAGUCCUGCCUUCCUACUCAACCCUGACAAAGGGGGCCGCUAUCGGAUUUAGUUGUUCUUACUCUGCCAGUCCCUUCUGCUCACUUUGUUUCAGCGCCGUGCCAACGGAGGGGAGAGAACUGGCAGAGCAAGUUUAAAAAUGUAGUCCAACAACAAGGAUUUGUAACUUCAUCUUUUAAUUGCAAGUGGGUUGAUUUUGGCACAGAUGACACACAGAUUGGUGGUGAUGGACGCGCCAAGGCUGUGGGUGUGGCAACACAACAGUUCCUUCUCUAGAAGUACAACGCCAUGAACAUAAAACCAGCACUCAAAACUUUUCUACUGACAUACAAACAUUAACGGUGACUCCGGAUAGCCGUCGCUGCACCUGCAGUGACUGUCAAGGGCUGGUAGAUGAAUGUCCCUCCUGCUAAGCUCGAUCUGGAUUUGUUUGCGCAGCUUCUACCGAGAUGUUAUCUAUCUCAUGAAGAAUUAUGAAAGCGUUCUUGUGGUGACGAAGCCCUGCUUGGAGUUUUAGAGUGAAGGUUUCUUGUAGAUGUGCAGAUAGAGUGGAUGAGUGGGUGGACCAACGUGGGUGAUGCAUGCACAAACAAUGUGAGCAGACAGUAGGUCUGCUCAUGUGUAACUGAUUGUUUCAGAGAGAAAUAAAGCCCAAAACAUUCUGAGCUGCGAGGGAGACGUUGAAUGUGAGUCUACCCCUCGAGGUGGAUGCGUGAAGUUAAGUUGUUCCUUAACUAAAGUAGAAUAUUAGACACUAACAAACUAAAUUUGUUUUGCAACUUUAUGUUACUGGAAAGUAUUUAUUGUGAUACUAUAGAUUGAAAACUGGAUCUUGUCGUCAGUAUUUUGUUCAAUGGGAUGAAGAGAAGCUGGCUGAAGUUAACGGAGACAUCAGCACCUAAAAUGACUGGAACAAUGAAAGAUUACAGCUUCAGACCCUUGAGAAACAGACACCACAGAGCUACAGGAACACAAUUAAACCCAAGCAUAAAAAAGAAAAAUAGUGAGCAACAACUAUUACUAGGUGUUAAGUCGGUGAAGCUCCUCCAGAAUCAAACUAGCCAAGCAAUCAAAAACGUCACAAAAUAUAUCUUAUACCUUAAACUGGGGCUGCUGGGAUUGUGACAGAAAACUCAUUUUCACAUCUGUUUCAGCGGCUUAACAAAUCUAAAUGGGUCUCCUGAAGCUCUGUUCUGGGACCGGUUCAAUAAUUCAUUGGAUCUGAGCUCAGGACGUUACCUCCACCGCCUCAGGCUUCUUGGCCACGACCGGCGCUCGGGCCGGGAUGGCCGCCUUCUGCCAUUAGCACGGCUCUGAUCAGAUUUACAGUUGGGCCUUUGGCCAACAGAGAGGCCCGGAGAAGGAGAGUCCUGGCCGCCAUGGCUGAAGCACACGGGGGGGGGUCAUUUAGCAGGCUGCAGUGACCACUGAUGCACCGCACUUAGCAUGCCGCCGUCAUUAGGGCACACGGUGCGUGAUGCCCCCGCCAGGAAGAGAAGCAGUGCAGGUGGCUCAGCACGUGAGAACAAGCCCUUUUGAUUUCCCCUCUAAAUACCCUGGUACACCCACUGAUAUUUGUUAUUUUAGGCAUCAAUGAUGGAGGUCAGUAUAGUGAAGGUUUCAUGUAACCGUGUCUGGGCCCAAAGAGCAAAUCAACGCCGACUAAAGAGGAAACGAUGAUGUCACAGAAGGAGGGAUUGGAGGGAAGAAAAUCAAAAGAUAGAGAGUGUGUCGAGCGGCGGCGACCCUCCCACAGCCCUACCUGUGGUGGAACAGAUUGGACCCGCUGCAGCGCGUUCUGAUUGCCGCGGCGCUUGAGCGUCAGCUGACAGAUGGCUGCCUGCAAGCAGCCCGGUGCGGCGGGCCGUCCGCAUCCUCCACUGAUUGGAAGCUCAUGCACACACGCGGCCAACACGCCUCGCGCCCACGUACAUAGACUGGUGACAUUAAAAGCAAAAAGGGUGAGGGAGGAACGGAGGACAUGGUUGUUUUUCAUAUUGGUGGCACGUUGCUGUUCCUCCCCACGGGUCGCAGCCAUUGUUCACAAUCAGACAGGAUAUAUGAAAGGAGGGAAUAAGGUUGGACCUUUUCCACUUCAAUGUUUAAUAGGAGGGUAAAAAUGAUGCUUCAAGAAAUAGAUAAUAAAGCUCUCUUUAUUGCAGGCAUUCUAACAAAGGUGACUGUCUCAAAACUCAUUUCCAUGUCUUAGGGCUCUUCCAAAUAUUCCCUCAGCACUAUGAGUCACAAUUUAAAACGGUGUGUAUGCAUAAGGCCGCCACAUGCUACAGAGUAAGGAUAGAGAGGAAGACAUUCUUUCCUGGGGAAGUUGUGAGCCGUGAUUUCCUAAUCUCAUCUGAAAUGAACUGUAUCAAAUCUCCUAUUGAUAUCCUUACAAAUUCCUACGUAUCAUGUUAAUUACUAUGUCAUCAAUUUACAAAACAGUUCUCUUGUUAAGUCCAAAAAUGUGGACUACUUGUAUUGAAUCAUGAAUCUAGAUGAAAUCUGAAAAAAUCAGUCGAGUUACAUUAAAUAGACGCAACGUCCUGUGUGACUAAGAACCCUCACAGAUGAGCGAUAACGUGCACGUACAGCACACUCGUCGGUUUAGAUGAUCGAGAUCAUCCGCAGGUCACAAAGGGGUUUAAAAGCAGCCACACGCUACGCCGUGAAAUGAUCCUAUCUGCAUUCUUCAGCGUAGACGCGCCCUCGUCAAAAACACCCUCGAACAAUCCAGUCAGCAAACUCAUGCGACUGUGAAAUAGACAAUAUAGCAUAUCUCAGCCGCCACAUCCCAACACAAUUCAUUUUCUUUCUGCACCAUUUACACUCCCACACACACCCACACACACACACACACACACACACACACACACACACACACACACACACACACACACACAUGGGAUCUCAGGGCAAAUGGUUUGCAUGGAUCUCGUGCCUUCCAAACACCUCCUGUUGCCCUAAAUAUCUUGUAAUGAAAGGCGCGGCCUCGGUAAUCCGUGACGGAAGGCAGUUUCAUGCUAGUUUAGCUUCCAUCACCUGUGUCGCUCCCUCCACCGCCCCACCGAGACAAGCCCUCGUCUCCGGCGCACUCGUCCUCCGUCGUCCUCCGUCGUCCCGUUUUUCCUUUUGCAGAGAAACCGCACGGGUCGUCUACACGUAAAACACGUCUCGUCGAGGUAAAUGAGGAUGAUUUUUUUGGUAUGGUUGCUCAUGCGAGCGUUUUAUUGUGAAAAAAGUAAGAUGCAGGUGUUUGAGUGUCCUCCAAAGCGGCCUGAAGAGAAGCCGCAUACGGCCAGUCCCUCUGAUUUCCUGUUAACGGUGUUUGUGUUGCGUCUUUUCGGCGAGCGAGACGCUGAUGAAGGUGGAUGGCAGCAGACAGCGGCUCGGAGCCUCGGCCCUCCGAGGAAGACCCUCUCACGCGUUCUGGCAGCCCUUCCAACAGAAUGGAUGAUUCUGGAACAGCAGCUCCCUCUUCACCUCGUGCCAAGACAUUUACAAUUCAAACAUGGACCAAGGUGCUGAAGAGGAAUGUUAGAAGCACUUUGAUUUGUUUUUAUGAGAGAUUUGGCAGAGGUUGGAUGGAAGCCCCUGGUGUCGCUCUUCAAAGGAAUAUAAAUUGCUGUUUUUGACAUUUUACUUUUUUCCCUCAGUGUUGAUUUCCGUUUUUGUCCCUACUUUUUUUUAUGGAACACUGAUAUACUACAUGUCAAGUCCAAAAGAGCUGUGUGGGCACUUUAGCCGUAUUUGUACAGUAUUUUACGUUCACUGCCCGCCGCCGUUUGGCACCUUCGAUAAACCAGCACUUGUUUAAUUGUGCAUGAAGCUAAUUAGUAUUGAAUACCUGACUUAGAGCAAUCUUUCGUACAAAGACGUAGAGUGUCUGACCUAACGUUGGAAUAAGAGAUUCACAUUAAUAUCCAACUUAUCGACCUUCCCACCACGCUAGUAUUAUUAUUUCCUUGCACACAGGAUUAACCUUGAUGCCGCGGCCUGGAGGGAGUUACUGCUGUGACUUGUUUCAUCUGGCGGAGGAGGAAAGAAGAUGACACCGCAACGCUGCUGCAGAUGCAAAACGCGGAGUAACGGAUGCCGGCGCUACGAGGGAAAUGUGUAGCCGUCUACUUUACCGGGGUUUCUCAUUCCAAUCAGCGAGUGUCGGCCCAGUCGGCCGCGUAAUUAAUGACUUGCUGACUGGCCACUAACAGUCCAACGAGUCUGUCCGACGGCAUCGUCGAGCAGCUGAAGCCUGCAGGAAAGAGAGAGGAAUGGCUCCAUUGAUACUUCAUGUGCUGCACUGCGCCCCUCAAUCAUGGGCAUGUUAUUCAAUCAAGGAGGGGGGGGGGUUGUAAUCGAUGUAAGCUAAAACAGAUUUUCCAAUAGCAACUUAUGAAAGUAGUAAAUGUAGUCUUCCUAGUGAAUGCACAUGUAAAUAUAUAUAUAUAUAUAUAUAAGUAGUGCUGUAUGAAAGAAAGGCAAGAAAAUCCAUUUUUCCGUGGUACAUUUUGAAGGCAAACCUUUGAGCUUUGAAAUAACCCGAGAACAACAAGUCUACUCCUACUCCAGAGGAGCCAAAUUUAGCACAUUUAUUCUUGUGUUUAGCGUUUGAAUGACAUGAGGCAUUCAUGUUGUUAAAUCUUUAAUGCCUACAUUUUACAUUUUACCAUUUCAAAAUAAAUAGCUUUUCAAACGCGUCCGUUGAAGCCUCUUUGUUUCCCUGAACUCGCGAUCCCGAAGAUACUCAGGUUGUUGUCUGGGUGCGCCCGCAUUAGUGCACGCCCGCAAAACACCAAUAUACGGG
Gasterosteus aculeatus aculeatus (three-spined stickleback) is the source of this 5934-nucleotide long non-coding RNA. NCBI's taxonomy places the organism in Eukaryota, Metazoa, Chordata, Actinopteri, Perciformes, Gasterosteidae. The record is from Ensembl.